AUUAUAUUAUAGGAAGUCUCGUCUGGUCAAAAAGUGAACUCCUUCAGCUUUUUGAGAUUACGCAUAGGAAGAAAGAUGGAUCUUCUAUGACAUCCGAAGCUGGAGAAAUUAUGGAGAAACUAAAGGAGAAGAAGGCAGAGUAUGAAGCGAUUGCUUCGACUGAUAGUUCUGCUAAUCUUGAGAACAUUGAUAACAGAAUUAUUACUGAAGUUUUGGGUCCUAAAAAGUAUGUUCAGGUUUGAUUUCAAGGAUCUGGUGUUACCCCGACCCAAUAUUUUGGAUCUAGCUCCCAGUAAUACAUGCCUUCCGAGAGUCAAGCUCAAGCUGAAGUUCAGAGGUUAAGAGACCAGAUAGCUCAGAUGCAAGCAAGCACAGUUGAGCAAAUUGCCGAGGUUGAAAGAAAAUAUGAAGAACUCCAGCAACAACUUAGAGCGGAUGUAGUAGGGAGGGAGGCAGAGGCGUGAGUAGAGCAAAGAAGUACGAUGAGCUCCACUCUGACUUGACAUAUGAUGAAGAUGUUUCAGCAGUCGCAAAAGCCGCCAUCUUAGACAUUUGUUUUCUCAUUGUAAGAAUAUUUUUAACAUUGUCACAUUUAACAUUAUUGGAAGAAUAUUUUGAGUUAUACUUCAUUUAUUAAUUUACAUCACAUAUCUUUCAUUGAA
Gossypium arboreum is the source of this 662-nucleotide long non-coding RNA. RefSeq lists it as uncharacterized. The transcript is spliced from 2 exons. The record is from RefSeq and is a predicted model, not a curated record. NCBI's taxonomy places the organism in Eukaryota, Viridiplantae, Streptophyta, Magnoliopsida, Malvales, Malvaceae.